This 253-nucleotide ribosomal RNA is filed under the name uncultured bacterium. RNAcentral's name for it is "partial 16S ribosomal RNA". It matches the Rfam family "Bacterial small subunit ribosomal RNA", at positions 524 to 776 of the family's 1533-position model. The record is from RNAcentral.
UACGAAGGGUGCAAGCGUUACUCGGAAUUACUGGGCGUAAAGCGUGCGUAGGUGGUUCGUUAAGUCUGAUGUGAAAGCCCUGGGCUCAACCUGGGAAUGGCAUUGGAAACUGGCGAUCUAGAGUGCGGUAGAGGGUAGUGGAAUUCCCGGUGUAGCAGUGAAAUGCGUAGAGAUCGGGAGGAACAGCUGUGGCGAAGGCGACUGCCUGGACCAGCACUGACACUGAGGCACGAAAGCGUGGGGAGCAAACAGG